Molecule: non-coding RNA, 30 nt
Filed under: Homo sapiens (human)
Lineage: Eukaryota; Metazoa; Chordata; Mammalia; Primates; Hominidae
Source: RNAcentral
UCAGAAAGCAUUGGUCCGUUAAGCAUCUGU